Molecule: transfer RNA, 99 nt
Filed under: Tolypothrix bouteillei VB521301
Lineage: Bacteria; Bacillati; Cyanobacteriota; Cyanophyceae; Nostocales; Tolypothrichaceae
Rfam family: tRNA
About the family: Transfer RNA (tRNA) molecules are approximately 80 nucleotides in length. Their secondary structure includes four short double-helical elements and three loops (D, anti-codon, and T loops).
Source: Rfam by way of RNAcentral
GCCCUUAUGACGGAACUAGCAAACGUGUUAGUCUUAGAAACCAAAUUUUGUAAGUAUCUCCUCUGGAGUCGAACGUGAGUUCGUCUCUCACCAAGGGUA